AUAUACAUAUGUAAAUUAUAAAUUGGUCAUAACCAAAUGUAACAUAACUAGGAAUAAUUAACCUAGUUAGUAAAUUGAAUUGGAAAAAAAAAACAAUAAGGAAAAACAUGAAAUAGAUAACCAUUUUACAAAAUAUGGAACUAUAGGGACUAAAAGAGGCAAAAGGGAAAAAUGUUUUUAAUUAAAACAAAUAAACACCAAAACACACACACAUGUGUGUGUUUGGUCGACGUUUAUACAGAGCCAGGAGAAGGGUUCUUUUCAAAACCCUAAACUCACUAAAAUCCAUCAAAAUCUAAGGGAAAUCGAGUUGGAAAUUAGGGCUUUAACUAAAUUCAUGAUCAACCAUGCUAGGAGAUCACAAGUUGACUCUAAACAAGCUAGGUGGGAGCUUGGAAAGGAACGGGUCAAACGAAUCAUGGAUGCGAAGAAUGUUUGCGCGAACGCGAGGUGAAUGCCAAGAGUGCCCGGAUGAAGAUCAAGCUCGAUGAGGAACCGAACACAAUAAAAUCUAACACUCGGGAUUAAAGCUUCCGCACGGCGUUACGCCAUAUCUUUUAAACGACGAACUUAUUUAUAUUACGUUAAAAAAACUUUUAAGUUGUAAAAGUUUUUUUUAGAUUACUUGUAUUUUCUAAGAAUACUUAAUCGCAAUUUCAUGUUUAUUUUCGAUAUUUAUACGAAAACCUUAAAAAUUAUAACA
Long non-coding RNA from Helianthus annuus (common sunflower), 703 nucleotides. RefSeq lists it as uncharacterized. The record is from RefSeq and is a predicted model, not a curated record. The transcript has 3 exons. Lineage: Eukaryota; Viridiplantae; Streptophyta; Magnoliopsida; Asterales; Asteraceae.